Long non-coding RNA from Hippocampus comes (tiger tail seahorse), 348 nucleotides. RefSeq lists it as uncharacterized. Lineage: Eukaryota; Metazoa; Chordata; Actinopteri; Syngnathiformes; Syngnathidae. The record is from RefSeq and is a predicted model, not a curated record. The transcript is spliced from 3 exons.
UCAAUGAGCAGCCUUUUAAUCCAUUGGUCCGUCUCGUUUUUUUUUCAAGUAAAACGUCCACGUGUAUAAAAUGAAAUGAGAAAAAUGGGCAAGCACAAGGGGUGUAUCUCGGGUAAUCCCUGUUUGCUAUCAAUCUGAAACCACGCCUCACUCUUUAGCAUGUCUGAGCGCAUGACUGUGGGGAGAGUGUUUCAAGGCUCCGCAGCAUAGGAUGGGAAGCCAUUGGCAACCUGGCACGAUUUAUGAACGAAAGACUUGACGCGUCGAUCAAUGUCCAACAGUCUUCAUUGUCCACACGUCCAUCGCUGCUGAGCGCCAUUUUUGAGAUUGCAAGGUGUGGGGUUGCUG